GAAUAUUGGACAAUGGGCGCAAGCCUGAUCCAGCCAUGCCGCGUGAGUGAUGAAGGCCUUCGGGUUGUAAAGCUCUUUCACCGAUGAAGAUAAUGACGGUAGUCGGAGCAGAAGCCCCGGCUAACUUCGUGCCAGCAGCCGCGGUAAUACGACGGGGGCUAGCGUUCUUCGGAAUUACUGGGCGUAAAGCGCACGUAGGCGGAUCGAUCAGUUAGGGGUGAAAUCCCAGGGCUCAACCCUGGAACUGCCUUUAAUACUGCCUGUCUUGAGUUCGAGAGAGGUGUGUGGAAUUCCGAGUGUAGAGGUGAAAUUCGUAGAUAUUCGGAGGAACACCAGUGGCGAAGGCAACCCCCUGGGCCUGUACUGACGCUCAUGCACGAGAGCGUGGGGAGCAAACA
This 398-nucleotide ribosomal RNA is filed under the name uncultured bacterium. Its description in RNAcentral is "partial 16S ribosomal RNA". It matches the Rfam family "Bacterial small subunit ribosomal RNA", at positions 359 to 774 of the family's 1533-position model. The record is from RNAcentral.